GCACCUUUUACACACACACACACACACACACACAUAUAUGAGUGUUAGUAAAAGCAACAAUACAAAAUCUUGAACUAUAAAAGUGCCACUUUGUCCCACUAUUAUGUGCAGGCCUGGCAUUUUGCACUGAGCUAUAGAACUACAAAAUGAAUUUUAAAUUAGCAAUAUCAUAAUUGAAUGACAUUUUGAAUUAUGUAGUGAUCUAAUUCUAUCCAUCAAACAAUUGUAUGUGAAUGUGUGAGACUUAUGGUCAUGGUUAUAGGGAAAUAACAAGAAGAACAAAGUACAGUAAACGGUAAAACUGUUUGCACUACAAACCAGUACGUUCAUAAUUAAGACAAUACAUUAAAAAUAACAUGGUAAGAUACAGCAGUUUGCAACAGUAAACAGCAAAACAAGCUGUUUGUACAGUUAAUAUAGCUGGAAUGACACCGAAAGCCAGACACAUUAAAUUUACAAAUGGCCGCGCCCCCUCUUACAGAAAAAUAAGGGGCAUAUGUUUAUUCAUAUGUUUAUGUAACGUAAGCGUGUGACUUUUAAUUCGUGACGUGCUUUCAUGGGCGUGCGCGCGGACCGGAUGGAGUUGCCAUGGAAACGGAGCGCAACACUGCAAAUGUCACGAGGAAACACCCCGUUUCUCGCUGAUUUCACUGUUUUCAGGAAUGGUUUAAUGUCUUCGAAAAAGUCCGUUAGCAUUUCUACCGUUUUCAGACGACGUAUCGUCAGAAGGGAGUGUCCAAGAUUUUAAUAUUUCUGAAGGGAGCUGCUGACAGAGAUGUAGGAAGCGCUGAAAAGAUUCUUCAUUGCUGAUGGCCUGCUGCAUCCAGCAGAGUCGGAGUGAACCUACUGUAAGACAACAUCUCCAAGAUGCUAUUGACCACAAGACUAGUACAGGUUAUUAGAAACUGCACAGCACAGGACUUGCAGGACUUGUGAGGACUUCAGAUGAUACCAGUACUCAAAAGACCUUAGAAGAUGGCAACUAUAGAUGGACAUACAAACUACCGCCACUGCAAAAAAGGUAAUGUUAAUUUGAAAGAGCUGUGUCACAGUAGCCGUGUUUCCACUAUCGAGCUAAGACCGGGCGUGCUAGUGCGUGCCAGGGCCAGUCGCGUUUCCACUGUCACUUCCGGGGCUUGAUCGUGCCUCGCUGGGGCUUCCUCGGGGCCAACGGCCAGGGUUUUUUGGCCCGACGAAAACCUUGGGCCAAAGCGGGCCAGCUGGGGCUAGAGGAGGGGUUAUGAACAAAGGCGGAGUUUCUCCGUGUCUGGAGAGCAUCAGCGCGGAUCAUUUCAGAAAGAUAACAGCUUUAACACCGGCAUUAAAGACGUUUUAAAAUCAGUUGAGCUCAAAACUCAUUCUUAGUUAGCAGCAAGUGUUUGAAAUAACUUGAUCCGAUGUGGAUUAUAAUCACUAAACAAGGCAGAAAUAUUUAUAAGCGAUGUAAAAGACUAUGCACGCUAAACAUUAACGUUAUCAUAAUAAACAUGUUAAAUAUGACCGCUUGGAGAAAUCAGACGUCAGCUUCUUAUUCUCUAUCACAAUUGUGUAUUUAUAAAGUAACAUUUUAUCUGUUGUCUCGUUUCAAGAGUUUAGCUCCACGUUGCAUAUCAUCAAAAUAUAAUAAUGAUUUUUGUUUGUGAGCUUUUAUAAAAAUAGCGAGUCUGCGCUGCUGAUCAUUUAAGAAAGAUAACAGCUUUAACACCAGCAUUAAACACUUUUUUAAAUAAGUUGAGCUCAAAACUCUCUUUCAGUCAGCAGCGAGUCUUUGAAAUAACUUGAUCCAAUGUGGAUAAUCACCAUACAAGGCAGAAAUAUGUAUAAGCGAUGAAAAAGAUAUGCACGCUAAACAUAUUACCAUAGUAAACAUGGUAAAAUAAGACCACUUGAAGAAAUCAGACGUCAGCUUCUUAUUCUCUAUCACAAUCGUUUAUUUAUUAAGUAACUUAUAUUAUCUGUCACAAGCCUCGUCUCGAGAGUUUAUCUCAAGUUGCCUAUCAUAAAAGAAUAUAGCCUAAUAAUGUUUUUUUGUUCGGGAGCUUUUAUAAAAAUAGACAUAUUAUCAUUCAUUAUAAAUAUGACAGCUAUACUGUGGCUAAUAAACAGAAACAGACUCGACUGAAUAAGCAGGCUAUUUUCAUAAGCGUUAAAAAUAAAUAAAAUAGAAAUAAGUGUGUUUAUGUGUGAUUAAUUUUGCAUGAAGUUGUUCUGAGAGGCGUGUAAAGGGUGUGUUUUAGUGACGUGCAGCGGUGCUUCAAGCUCCACUAUGGAAACGCUGCACUAUUCUGGCCUCGUGCUACUGGCCUGAGGCUAUGAGCCCGCCCGACCCACUUUUUGGCCCGACAGUGGAAAUGCGGCUAGUAUCAAGGGCUCCCUUAUCAGUUCUGCUUUCAGUACUGGAGAGUAAAAGAUAAAAUUUUUUUUGUUUGAUGUUUUUAUUAGUACAUAUACGUUAUCUUGCACAUUUUAUCUCCCCAACAGAUUCUAAUUUGAAAGAAGUUUAUAAUGCAUGUUCGCUACUCACAAUUCAGAAGACUGAAUCAGCCUGUGUAUCUGAAUGUUUCUCAUACUCACUCCUCUCUGCCGCGUCUGAAUUUUGGAUUUUCCUUAGCUGUCAGUUAUAAACGUCAAAAUCAAAAGAAAUAAACAUUUGAAAUAUAUCAGUCUGUGUGUAAUGAAUAAAUAUAAUAUACAAGUUUCACUUUUUGAAUGGAAUUAGUGAAAUAAAUCAACUUUUUGAUGAUAUUCUAAUUAUAUGACCAGCACCUGUAUAUCAUUGCUCUUUUGUUGAUUUUGAUUGCUUCCAUUGUCCUCAUUUGUAAGUUGCUUUGGAUAAAAGUGUCUGCUAAAUGUAAAUGUAAUGUUAAUGUGUAUUUAACUAUAUUUAUAAAUAUUUAUCUGUAUUUUUUAUUUUGUAAUAAUGUAAAUGUAUUUGUUUUAUAUCUAUACAUGCAGUUGUAUUCAUGUAUGUAUAUUUAUUUGUCUAAUUUUUAUAUUUUAAUAAAGCAGUUUAGACUA
Molecule: long non-coding RNA, 3018 nt
Organism: Carassius gibelio (silver crucian carp)
Lineage: Eukaryota; Metazoa; Chordata; Actinopteri; Cypriniformes; Cyprinidae
Exons: 5
Source: RefSeq, a predicted model, not a curated record